This is a non-coding RNA of Tetranychus urticae (two-spotted spider mite), 691 nucleotides long. The record is from RefSeq and is a predicted model, not a curated record. Lineage: Eukaryota; Metazoa; Arthropoda; Arachnida; Trombidiformes; Tetranychidae.
AGUCAACUUUAUGCUCAUCACCGGCAAAGUCAGCCAUAGGAACCUUUAUCAUGAUCAAAUAGGAAACAAUGAAAGAUGUUAUAUUUAAUUUAAACAUGACAUUAAUCAAGUGAGAUCCAUGGAGAGAAAGAAGAAUGGAUAACAACUUACCCUGAUAACAUCAAGCAUAUCAACGAGGAAUGGUUUGAAUAUAACUCGUUUCUCUUGGACUGGAAGGUCGCGUUGCAGUGAAUAUCGACAAGAUAAUAGACGAGCAGAGUCCCAAACUUCUUGAUAAAUUGGAUCGUUUUGGAAUAUUAUUACAUUUUCGAAUUGUUUAGAAUCUUUGACGUCUUUACUGAGAACACUCGCAGUACCACAACCUUCAGCUGGAAUUUUGAAUGCUAAAUUGGACGAAUCGCUUUUCUCUUGGACAUAUCUGUUUUGGGUUGAAUCAUCGAGAAGCAAGAAUUAGCAAGAAUAUGAAUAUUCCUUAAGGCUCGGUUGACCAACAUUGAUCAAAGAAAUAUAUUCAAUCAAGAUUAAUUAGCGUAUUUUCUCACUUUCUUCUGGGAACUCUGACUAAAUGAUCGAUAAUUAUCAUUGUGAUCAACCAUUAUCAGCUUCAUGUCUGGAUAUAAUUUGCGUGAUAUGAUUGAACGUGAUUGUCAAAGAAAUAAACAACUCAAUUAAAUAUGCUUAUUGAACUCAA